This 254-nucleotide ribosomal RNA is filed under the name uncultured bacterium. RNAcentral describes it as "partial 16S ribosomal RNA". It matches the Rfam family "Bacterial small subunit ribosomal RNA", at positions 524 to 776 of the family's 1533-position model. The record is from RNAcentral.
UACGUAGGGGGCAAGCGUUGUCCGGAUUUAUUGGGCGUAAAGAGCUCGUAGGCGGUUUGGUAAGUCGGGGGUGAAAUCUCCGUGCUCAACACGGAGGGGCCACCCGAUACUGCCAUGACUUGAGUCCGGUAGAGGAGAGUGGAAUUCCCGGUGUAGCGGUGAAAUGCGCAGAUAUCGGGAGGAACACCAGUAGCGAAGGCGGCUCUCUGGGCCGUGACUGACGCUGAGGAGCGAAAGCGUGGGGAGCGAACAGG